Molecule: unclassified non-coding RNA, 204 nt
Filed under: Hevea brasiliensis (rubber tree)
Lineage: Eukaryota; Viridiplantae; Streptophyta; Magnoliopsida; Malpighiales; Euphorbiaceae
Source: RNAcentral
AGAUGCCCUCAAACUGCUUUAAUUCUUUGAUAAGAGAUUCCACGUCAGGCCACUCAGUAUCCAGCUCUGAUGCUUGGAGUUCUCCAUUCAAAUUAUCAGGAUCACCAACUACAGCCUCUAAGGCCUCCAUCAUGGGAUCUGGCGUUAUUUCCUUCAAUGACAAGAAGAUGCGCUCAAGUGAAAAGUCUAACUGGUGAACUUUUG